This 106-nucleotide ribosomal RNA is filed under the name Psychrobacter sp. SHUES1. RNAcentral describes it as "partial 23S ribosomal RNA". It matches the Rfam family "Bacterial large subunit ribosomal RNA", at positions 1 to 99 of the family's 2925-position model. Lineage: Bacteria; Pseudomonadati; Pseudomonadota; Gammaproteobacteria; Moraxellales; Moraxellaceae. The record is from RNAcentral.
GUUGUAUGGUCAAGUAAUGAAGCGCACAUGGUGGAUGCCUUGGCAGUCAGAGGCGAUGAAAGACGUGACAGCCUGCGAUAAGCUUCGGGGAGGCGGCAAUAUCCUG